RNAcentral lists this long non-coding RNA (3452 nucleotides) under Marmota monax (woodchuck). Lineage: Eukaryota; Metazoa; Chordata; Mammalia; Rodentia; Sciuridae. The record is from RNAcentral.
CGCAGGGACCAGUGUAGCUAUCUGUUAGCUGCAUGGGUGGGGGCGGCGGGGCAUGGGCCGGGCCAGCAGCAGGUUUUGUCUUCCAGGGCUGAUGACCAGUGUUCCCCAAGCCCAGAUCAGCGCAGCGCCCCUCGCAGGACAAGGGCGACAGACCCACGGUCCUCCUUCUGUGCUGGGCAGGACCAAGCAACAGGACAGAGGUCCAUCCAGCCUGGGACAGCCUUUCCUUGUGGGACACAGCUCCAGUCCUCCCUUUGUUUUGAAUAAUUUAUUACUUUUUAUGGUGGUAAGAUAUACAUACAUAAAAGCUACCUUUGAAUUUUUGUUUUUGUUUUGGUUUUGUACCAGGGAUUGAACCCAGGGGCGCUUAACCACGAAGCCACAUCCCAGCCCCUCCCCCCCUUUUUUAGAGCCUUGCUAAGUUGCUGAGAAAGGCUGGCCUCCAACUUUCAAUCCUCCUGUCUCAGCCUCCUGAGCUGCCUGAUUACAGUUGUGUGCCAUCACUCCUGGGCCUUUGAAUUGUUUUUAAGCGUGGCAUUAAGGGUAUUCACGUCAUUGUGCAACUAUCACUACCAUCAGGCCAUGGAACUCUUCAUUUUGCAAAACUGAAGCCCUAUCCCCACGAAACACUGUCCCAUUUCCUGCUCCCUCCAGUCUGUGCUCCUUCACCCUACUUUCUGCAUCUGUGAAUUAAGUUCAUAGAGGGACUUGACCUCUGAUGAAUGGAAUCUUGCAGUAUUCGUCCUCUUGUGAUGGACUCUUGUCACUUAUAGUGUUUCAAACUUUAUCCUUGUAGUAGCAGAUGUCAGGAUGCCUUUCCUUUUCACAGCUGAGUAAUAUUCCAUUGUGUGGAGAGACUCCAUUUCAUUUAUACAUUUACCCAUCUGUGGACACUGGGUAACUGCAUUUUUAAAAAUUUUAUUUAUUUAUUUAUUUUGAUACUAGGGAUUAAACUCAGGGGCACUUGACCACUGAGCAACAUCCCCACCCCUAUUUUGUAUUUUAUUUAGAGACAGGGUCUCAUUAUUUUACUUAGGGCCUCCCCGUAGCUGAGGCUGGCUUUGAACUUGUGAUCCUCCUGCCUCAGCCUCCCGAGCUGCUGGGAUAACAGGAGUGCUGCCUUUUUGCAGUUGCCAAUCAUGCAGCAACGAACAUGGGUGAAUUCCAGUUCUUUUAUAAAAAUUCUCGUUCCUCUAUUUCCUCCCCCACCCUUGGUAAGUUAUUUUUUCAGAAAAUAACUGGUGACCAAAAAGCAGGGGUGCAAAGCUUGCAAGUGACGUGGGGAAGUCCCUCCGUCAGACUUCAGACCCACAAACAUCCCAUCUGUCUCUUCUCAGAAGAGGCUUGUGUCUGGUGGCCGCAUGUCCCUGUUUGCCCAGGAUGGUCUCGGGUCACACCUGUUGUCUCCGUGUAAAUAUUCAUGGUACAACUUUGCACUCUCAGGAGGAUCCUGAAAUUCUACGUCCCCACUGUUUGGGGCACUUUCAGUGUGAAUUAGGGUGGAAGGCAGUGGUUCUUCAUGGGGGGGUUUGCUUCCCAGGGGACAGGUGGCAACGUGUAGAGACAUUUUCAAUGUCAGCAUGAGCAGCUAGAGACCAGGGGUGCUGCUGAGCACCCUACAGAGCACAGCACAGCCCCCCACUCCCCAAAGAAGUACCUGGCCCAAGGUCCACCUCGCAAGGAAGAAGGGAGAGAAGGAGAGGAAGUGGACGUUGGCCAGAUGACCGGAGGACAGAGAAAAGGAGACGAGCUGCCCCGAAAGAACCGCAGGCCUGCAGGCUCGGGGAUGGACUUGGCCUCCCUCCCGCCUCUGCUUGGAGCGUGGCCCCUUUUGAAAUCGCUCAGUCCAUCUCCAUCUCCCUCUGGGCAGAGCCGCUAACGCAAGCCCCUGGGUCUGAUGGAGAGCGAGCUCCUGGCGUGCAGAACCCUGAGCUCCCAGGCCACCUGCCAGCAUAGGUUGUCACCCCCACCCAGACCCCAGAGGUGGGAGGCACAGGGUGGGGGAGGGCACGGCCCAUGGUGAGCCCACUCCACCGACUUUAGAGUCACUGCCCGACGCCUCCAUUGAUAUUCCCAGAACACCCAAAUGACGUGAGGCUGUUCCAGGUCCUGUGCGGUGCAUUGAACAGCAUCUGGGUCACUGAUGGAAUGCAGAGGAGACUGGGUCCUGUCCUCUUCUGUCCCUGUGCGGGCACGUUCCAGCACCAGAUUACGUCACGGUCCUGGUCGUGAGUGAGCCACUCACCCGUCUGGUCUGAGCUCAAUUUGCAAAUGCCACCCCCUGCCCCCCACCGUGGGCUCCUGUAAAUAUUCAUCAAAAAUGAGGUCAGAUGAAGCAGCGGACUUCAGCUAAGGAUCAUUAUUAACACAAACCGCAGCCUUGUCCCCACCUGGGGAGGGCGGAUGACAAUACGGUCAAGGGCGGGCCAAGAAUCACAUUUCAAGAGCUUAGGAGAAAUCAGGCAGUGCUUAAGUGAAAUCAGGCAGCACUUAAGUGAAAUCAGGCUGCAGGAAGGGGCACAAGAUGUUAAUGGCGAGGGGGACCCUGUGCCCAGUGACUGAUGGCGCUCUUCCUUAGGAACCUCACUGCCCCCACCGACUCCAUCAUGGUCAUUUCCCUAAGUACAGUGGCGACGGGUGAGAAAUCUUUAUGUCAAUAAACAAUAUUUGCCAACCACAUUUUCUUCAUCGUGUUAAUUUGGUCAGCCCACCUAGAAGGCUGGCUUACCUACUGAUGAACUGGAAAAUCAAAAUGACCACAGAAUUCACCUCCCGUCAGGGGAAAAGGGACUGCGGAAAUACCGAGCAUUAUUUUCAUUAGUCCAUAGGUCACACAUGAGCAGCUUCUACCGUCCGGGGUUUAUGGGUCCUGGUGUGGAUCUUGGGACUCUGGGGAGGGGGAGGGGGAGCUGCCUCAGUUACAGAGAAAAUAGAUGACUAGCCUGGUGCUAAUUAACCUCCCUUUAAUUGAUAAUUAAUUUUAAAACCUAUUUACUCUCCCUGGAACAGCUGAGACUUUAAAGAGACCACUGUGAAAACAAAUGGUGGAUAAAGUCUUCUCUCAGGAAAUGAGUGGGGCCUCCAGGGAGUGGGGAGAUCCGGCCCCUUGGACCAGUCAUCGUAUUAAAGGAUUGUGGAUGCUCAUGGAGGGGACAGACCAAAGUCACAGGGCAGUGACAGCCUUUCCAAUUCACUCUCUUUUCGGACACUGUCCCCACCCCAUUCCCUGGUAGGGUGACCAACUUGUCCCCAUUGCCUGGGACCAAGGAGUUCCCUGGACAUGUGGUUUUGGGUGCUAGAGAUGGGAUAUCUUCAGCCCCGCUUCCAAAGCCCCAAAUCCCUUGGGUGAAUUCAUUCCAAGGCUCAUCUCCCUGUCUCCAGGCAUUUGCCUUAGUUUCCCCUUGAUGCUGUCUGGCAACAUUCUCUGAUUUAAACCUUCCAGUGGAUUACCC